AUCGCCCGGGAACUACGAGCAAAGCUUAAAACCCAAAGGACUUGACGGUACCCCACAUCCACCUAGAGGAGCCUGUCCUAUAAUCGAUAACCCCCGCUUAACCUCACCAUUUUUAGCCUAUCAGCCUGUAUACCUCCGUCGCCAGCUUACCACGUGAGCGACCCUCAGUGAGCUUAAUGUUUAUACACCAACACGUCAGGUCAAGGUGCAGCAGAUAAAAUGGGAAGAGAUGGGCUACACUCUCUAUUCUAGAAAAUACGGAAGACUAUUUAUGAAACCUAGUCAAAAGGCGGAUUUAGUAGUAAAAAGAGACAAGAGUGCUCUUUUUAACAUGGCACUGGGGUGUGUACACACCGCCCGUCACCCUCUUCAAAGCUAAUAUAAAGUCCCUAACACACCUAAGCACCACAGAAGAGGCAAGUCGUAACAUGGUAAGUAUACCGGAAGGUGUGCUUGGAAA
RNAcentral lists this ribosomal RNA (460 nucleotides) under Osteocephalus yasuni. RNAcentral describes it as "partial 12S ribosomal RNA". It matches the Rfam family "Bacterial small subunit ribosomal RNA", at positions 868 to 1522 of the family's 1533-position model. Lineage: Eukaryota; Metazoa; Chordata; Amphibia; Anura; Hylidae. The record is from RNAcentral.